GUUAAUGUCCAUAAAGGACUUUAUUGUUUGGUACAACUUUUUUUUUUUUUUGGCAUCAGAAAAAACUUUAUUAAGCUAAUGGUUCAAACAAGCAAGCUUCAUGGGUUAGCUAUGGGGGAGCCUGUUCUCCAACGAAACAGAAGUCUGAGGCUCGUGAUCGUCCUGCCUUAGAGAGAGUCCGCACGGCCAUUGUCAAAACGACAAACGAAAAUAACAGAGGUAGCAGAGAACUCUGAGCAAAGAAAAUCAAUUUCAUCUAGUUCAGGCCCAAG
This 272-nucleotide long non-coding RNA is filed under the name Brassica rapa (field mustard). RNAcentral describes it as "long non-coding RNA (BRAP_LNC002396)". Lineage: Eukaryota; Viridiplantae; Streptophyta; Magnoliopsida; Brassicales; Brassicaceae. The record is from RNAcentral.